GGCUCCCACAUCAGGGUUCUAACGUGAUGGACAGGCAUGACAUUUGGGCUGUCCGUCACAAAUGUUAAUAACAGAAUUAUUCUCAAGUUUUUGACUCUGAUGUAUGGACCUUAUUUGUAAGAAACCUCAAAUGGAGAAUGAGAUAGACUGGAGUGAAGCGAACCAAUACAAAGCAUGAAUGAGUCUGGAUCAAACCUACAGUUCUGAAAUCCUUCAAAAGGCCCAUGCAUUUUAAUUUUACUGUAGGUAUGAAGAGAGGGAAAUCAGUUCUGAUAUGGCUGAAGUCGAUGUGAAGAAAUCUGCAGAAGG
Non-coding RNA from Pogona vitticeps (central bearded dragon), 309 nucleotides. The record is from RefSeq and is a predicted model, not a curated record. Lineage: Eukaryota; Metazoa; Chordata; Lepidosauria; Squamata; Agamidae.